RNAcentral lists this ribosomal RNA (223 nucleotides) under unidentified soil organism R6-12. Its description in RNAcentral is "partial 16S ribosomal RNA". It matches the Rfam family "Bacterial small subunit ribosomal RNA", at positions 1280 to 1500 of the family's 1533-position model. The record is from RNAcentral.
AGCCGGUCUCAGUUGGGAUUGUAGUCUGCAACUCGACUACAUGAAGUCGGAAUCGCUAGUAAUGGCGGAUCAGCAUNCCNCCGUGAAUACGUUCCCGGGCCUUGUACACACCGCCCGUCACAUCACGAAAGUCGGUUGCUCUUGAAGUCGCUGAGCUGACCCGCAAGGGAGGCAGACGCCUACGGAGUGAUCGAUGAUUGGGGUGAAGUCGUAACAAGUUACC